CACAAGCCCCCUGAAGGAACCAUGUAGACUACGUGGUUGAUAGGUCAGGUGUGUAAGUACAGCAAUGUAUUGAGCUAACUGAUACUAAUGAUCCGAGAGGCUUGACCAUAUAACCUCA
Molecule: ribosomal RNA, 118 nt
Filed under: Stenotrophomonas maltophilia 5BA-I-2
Lineage: Bacteria; Pseudomonadati; Pseudomonadota; Gammaproteobacteria; Lysobacterales; Lysobacteraceae
Description: partial 23S ribosomal RNA
Rfam family: Bacterial large subunit ribosomal RNA
Source: RNAcentral